RNAcentral lists this ribosomal RNA (435 nucleotides) under Desmocaris sp. ULLZ 8358. RNAcentral's name for it is "partial large subunit ribosomal RNA". It matches the Rfam family "Bacterial large subunit ribosomal RNA", at positions 1950 to 2595 of the family's 2925-position model. The record is from RNAcentral. Lineage: Eukaryota; Metazoa; Arthropoda; Malacostraca; Decapoda; Desmocarididae.
GCUAAGGUAGCAUAAUCAAUAGCCUCUUAAUUAGAGACUUGGAUGAAUGGCUGAAUGAGAGGGUAGCUGUUUUUUCUUUAUUUAUAGAACUAAACUUUUAAGUGAAAAGGCUUAAAUUAUUUAGGGGGACGAUAAGACCCUAUAAAACUUAAUAUANAUUGUUUAUAGGUAGAAAAUUUUAAAAUAAAUUGUUUAUAACAGAGUUUAUUUCAUUGGGGUGAUGAUAAUAUAAAUAAUAACUGUUAAAUAAAUAUAAUAGAUAUAACUAGGUAGUGAUCCUUCAUUGAGGAUUAAAAGAAUAAGUUACUUUAGGGAUAACAGCGUAAUUUUUUCUGAGAGUUCUUAUCGAUGAAAAUGGUUGCGACCUCGAUGUUGAAUUAAAAUUUCGAUUGGGUGUAGCCGCUCAAUAAGUAAGUCUGUUCGACUUUUGAUAUU